RNAcentral lists this ribosomal RNA (253 nucleotides) under uncultured bacterium. Its description in RNAcentral is "partial 16S ribosomal RNA". It matches the Rfam family "Bacterial small subunit ribosomal RNA", at positions 102 to 353 of the family's 1533-position model. The record is from RNAcentral.
ACGGGUGAGUAACGCGUGGGUAACCUGCCUUAUACAGGGGGAUAACAGUCAGAAAUGGCUGCGAAUACCGCAUAAGCGCACAGAGCUGCAUGGUUCAGUGUGAAAAACUCCGGUGGUAUAAGAUGGACCCGCGUUGGAUUAGCUUGUUGGCAGGGUAACGGCCUACCAAGGCGACGAUCCAUAGCCGGCCUGAGAGGGCGAACGGCCACAUUGGGACUGAGACACGGCCCAGACUCCUACGGGAGGCAGCAUG